CCCGACGACCGGCGCACGGGUGAGUAACACGUAUGAAACCUGCCCGUAGCAAGGGGAUAAGCGGAAGAAAUUCCGUCUAAUACCGCGUAACAACCCAUGGAGGCAUCUCUGUGGGUUUAAAGGAAGCGAUUCCGGCUACGGAUGGUCAUGCGUCGCAUUAGCUUGUUGGCGGGGUAACGGCCCACCAAGGCGACGAUGCGUAGGGGUUCUGAGAGGAAGGUCCCCCACACUGGUACUGAGACACGGACCAGACUCCUACGGAAGGCAGCAG
This 271-nucleotide ribosomal RNA is filed under the name uncultured bacterium. RNAcentral's name for it is "partial 16S ribosomal RNA". It matches the Rfam family "Bacterial small subunit ribosomal RNA", at positions 87 to 354 of the family's 1533-position model. The record is from RNAcentral.